GACGAACGCUGGCGGCGUGCUUAACACAUGCAAGUCGAACGGAAAGGCCCUGCUUUUGUGGGGUGCUCGAGUGGCGAACGGGUGAGUAACACGUGAGUAACCUGCCCUUGGCUUUGGGAUAACUUCAGGAAACUGGGGCUAAUACCGGAUAGGAGCUCCUGCUGCAUGGUGGGGGUUGGAAAGUUUCGGCGGUUGGGGAUGGACUCGCGGCUUAUCAGCUUGUUGGUGGGGUAGUGGCUUACCAAGGCUUUGACGGGUAGCCGGCCUGAGAGGGUGACCGGCCACAUUGGGACUGAGAUAAGGCCCAGACUCCUACGGGAGGCAGCAGUGGGGAAUAUUGCACAAUGGGCGGAAGCCUGAUGCAGCAACGCCGCGUGCGGGAUGACGGCCUUCGGGUUGUAAACCGCUUUCGCCUGUGACGAAGCGUGAGUGACGGUAAUGGGUAAAGAAGCACCGGCUAACUACGUG
This 468-nucleotide ribosomal RNA is filed under the name uncultured bacterium. RNAcentral's name for it is "partial 16S ribosomal RNA". It matches the Rfam family "Bacterial small subunit ribosomal RNA", at positions 28 to 507 of the family's 1533-position model. The record is from RNAcentral.